Molecule: long non-coding RNA, 190 nt
Organism: Panonychus citri (citrus red mite)
Lineage: Eukaryota; Metazoa; Arthropoda; Arachnida; Trombidiformes; Tetranychidae
Exons: 2
Source: RefSeq, a predicted model, not a curated record
AAACUGAAUUUUCUGAAACGAUUUUUAAUUAUUUCACUAGUAUUUCUUUUUUUACUAUUUAAUUGAUCACUUUUCAUUAAUUAAAUAAGAAUUCACUAAUUAGAGUUGAAAACUGAUUAAACUUUUCUCUCUGGUUAUUUAGGCUCGGGAACUAUAUGACCAGAGAUUUCUGGUCGAAUAGGCUGUUCCG